Molecule: small nucleolar RNA, 96 nt
Filed under: Sorex araneus (European shrew)
Lineage: Eukaryota; Metazoa; Chordata; Mammalia; Eulipotyphla; Soricidae
Description: Small nucleolar RNA SNORA68 (ENSSARG00000019752.1)
Source: RNAcentral
AGGGCAGCCAAGGAACCAGCCGAGGGCAAUAGCGUCUCUUGCCAUUUGGGGGCCUGCAGCUCUGCCCUUCAAAGUGAAUCUGGAGAUUCUACUGCA